GCUGGGAGCUGUGGUGCAUACUUGUAAUCCCAGCAACUUUGGAGGCUGAGGCAGGAGGAUCACAAGUUUAGGGCCAGCCCAAGCAACUUAGCAAGGCCCUAAACAACUUAGUAAGACCCUAUCUCAG
This 127-nucleotide small RNA is filed under the name Marmota monax (woodchuck). Lineage: Eukaryota; Metazoa; Chordata; Mammalia; Rodentia; Sciuridae. The record is from RNAcentral.